Molecule: long non-coding RNA, 213 nt
Filed under: Mytilus galloprovincialis (Mediterranean mussel)
Lineage: Eukaryota; Metazoa; Mollusca; Bivalvia; Mytilida; Mytilidae
Source: RNAcentral
CUACUGGUAGUUACGCAAGCAAAAAUAAACAAUACAAAAUAGGUAUUUGGUUGAGAAAAUAGUGCCUAUUAAUAGUAUUUUAUAUAAUGCAUGCGUUGAUCACCCUUUUAAAUUUAAGAAAAGAGGGAAGGGAGGAAGCAAUUCAUGUUGCUUAAAUAACAUAGUUUUUAUGUUUUGUGCUUUUAUCUUUUAUUUUUUUUUAAAUGUUGUUGG